This 393-nucleotide ribosomal RNA is filed under the name Triticum aestivum (bread wheat). Its description in RNAcentral is "partial small subunit ribosomal RNA". Lineage: Eukaryota; Viridiplantae; Streptophyta; Magnoliopsida; Poales; Poaceae. The record is from RNAcentral.
AUGGGCCUCCUCGACCAGCUCUGGGACGAGACGGUCGCCGGCCCACGGCCGGACCACGGCUUCAGCAAGCUCCGGAAAUACUCCUCCUUCUCGCCCUCGAGCCCGGCGGCCGCAGACGUCGCGCCGGCGGUGACCCGCAGCAUCACCAUCGCCCGGCCGCCGUCUCUCUCCCUCCCGUCCGGCGAGUCGAGCUCCGUGCCGUCCACCCCGGCCAGUGCGCCGGACUCCCCGUUCGCAGCAGGCACCGGUAGCACGCCGAGGGUGGACGGCUGGAGGGCGUUCCGCCGGAAAUCCAAGAUGGCCAACGUCGACGCCGUCCAGGCAGAGGCGACCGCCGGGCCCAGGAGCCCAACCGUGUACGACUGGGUGGUGAUCAGUUCAUUGGACCGAUAA